Molecule: long non-coding RNA, 1254 nt
Filed under: Homo sapiens (human)
Lineage: Eukaryota; Metazoa; Chordata; Mammalia; Primates; Hominidae
Description: HSALNT0196250
Source: RNAcentral
AGCUUUUCCCUGACUCUCCCGUGUCCUCCUGCCUGGAAGUCCCGCUUUUCCCCCGAGGCCAGCCGUAGAAACUAGAAUUCCUCUUUCCCAACGCCAGCCAUAAAACCUAAAAAUAUGAUUCUAAUUUCCCCUCCAUCUUUCUGUAUCAAAACUGGCCAUUGAAAAAUGGCCCACCUUGUUUCACUGUAGCUCAUAAGACCCCCAUUCCACAGCAGGUCCUGCCCCAUACCCUGAAGGAAGGAAUGCUGUUCAGAGAGGCCAAGAAGAAUCCAGGUGGACAGGCCUUGCCAUCUCUUUACACUGAUUGCUACUGAGUCCAGCCACGUUAGGUGAUUUUUUUUUUAGACGGAGUCUUGCUCUGUUGCCCAGUCUGGAGUGCAGUGGCGUAACCUCUGCUCACUGCAACCUCCACCUCCCGGGUUCAAGAGAUUCUGCUGCCUCAGCCUCCUGAGUAGCUGGGAUUACAGGUGUGCACCACCAUGACCGGCUAAUUUUUGUAUUUUUGUUAGACACAGAGUUUCACCAUGUUGGCCAGGCUGGUCUCGAACUCCUGACCUCAGGUGAUCCGCCCACCUCUGCCUCCCAAAGUGCUGGGAUUACAGGCGUGAGCCACCACGCCCGACCUAGGUCAUACUCUUUUUGUCCAGUUAUAUUUCUACACAGCUGUCCAUAGUUUGUUAAAUGUAAGCAUAAAAAUAGACAAUUUCCCCUGUGUCUUUUGGUCUUUGUUCAAAAGGCUUCUCUAUCUAUACGCUAAAUAAAUUUAUAUGCCUUUUUUCCUAUUAAUUUGCCUUUUGUGAGUUGACUUUUCAGAGGACCUACAUUUUGGUGUGGCGAGCAGGGUCACCAAAGCUGCUCUGCUCUUCCGGAAGCCACAGAAAAGGGAACCCAGGAACCAGAUCAGCUGGCAAAAAGUGUGGAGUAGUUUUCUACCAGGACAGAGUUAACAACCCAUAAAGGUCUCUGCUUAAGUAAGAAGUCCAUUUCUGUGAACCAUAACCCAGAUAUAGCAACGCCAGACUGUCUCCUAUCAAAAUUUAUUGAAAUGGUAGAUUUUUGUGUGGAGUAGUUUUCUACCAGGACAAAGUUAACAACCCAUAAAGGUCUCUGCUUAAGUAAGAAGUCCAUUUCUGUGAACCAUAACCCAGAUAUAGCAACGCCAGACUGUCUCCUAUCAAAAUUUAUUGAAAUGGUAGAUUUUUGGUAAGUACAGAAACACAAGCGAAGGAACCAGGAGGAACGUGCACCCCUCUA